This is a long non-coding RNA of Phragmites australis (common reed), 1617 nucleotides long. RefSeq lists it as uncharacterized. The record is from RefSeq and is a predicted model, not a curated record. The transcript is spliced from 2 exons. NCBI's taxonomy places the organism in Eukaryota, Viridiplantae, Streptophyta, Magnoliopsida, Poales, Poaceae.
AUGAGAAAAGCAGGAAACGAUGGGCGACCAUAUCCUCUCCUCUAUAAAACGCAGCACAACCCUGACCAAGGCCGCACCACCACCAAGCAGAUCUCCAGAAAGGACGCAUAGAUCUGAGCCCCAGCCCCGUUCUUCUCCAUGUUCGGCGGAUCUCCCAGCCGGCUACUUCUACAUGGACUCUAUCUCUCUCUCAUGGUUGUUUGCAACUGGUUUUUUCGGUGGCGGUGGCGGUGGUUUCCAUGGCUAACUGACAGAAGAGAGUGAGCACACAGCGGGCAAACUGCAUCGAUCUAAGUACACCUUUCUAAACCGAGGCGGCACACACGUACGAAUGAUGCAGCUGCUGUUGUGUGCUCACUUCUCUCUCUGUCAGUCCUCUCCCGGCCUCUCCCUGCCACCAUACACCCUCUCUCUCUCUCUCUCUCUCUCUCUCUCUCUCUCUCUCUCUCUCUCUCUCUCUCUCUCUCUCUCUCUCUCUCUCUGUGUGUGUGUAUGUGUGUGUGUGUGUGUGUGUGUGUAUGUGUGUGUGUGUGUGUGUGUGUGUGUUGUUGUUGCAGGCUUGCAGCAAGCGCCACCAUGUGAGCAGUUUCAGGCUUUCAACGGCGGGCUAAUAAGGGCUCGUGCCAUGGCGGUGGCGAGAUAAGGCCGGUCUGGGCGGGAUCUCGUCCUUAUCUUGUCCUGGCCUGCUGACUGCCCUACAUCUCGCCGCCCGAGGAGGGGGUUGAAGCGGUGGUGCAGCUGGACCCGUACUUUGGAGCAAGGUACGUGUAGUAGUCGUUUCCUGUCUUUUGUUUUGCGCUUUCUUUCCCUUUGCAGGCUGUGUCUCGUCGUCCCAAGGUCGAGGGAAAGGGGACAUGGCCUCGGGGGAAGGAGACGCCCGCGCGCGUGAUGGAUUGAUUAACUCAUCUCCCCGAUCUCGCUGCCGGUGCGGCUUUCCAUGCACGCUCCUAGCCGACAUCUCGUACUCUGUUCAGCUGCCAAUUUCAUCUCCUAGAUCUAAUGCUCCUGCUUCACUUGUUCUCGUCCCCCUUUGGUUACUUGACUUCGAGAUCUGUUAAUUUCUUCAAGAAAAUCGCUAGAUCUGUGUAGUCCCUUUUUUCGCUUUCCUGUUUCUUUUGCACACAUUUCUAUCUGUAGUAGUAUCAUCAUCUCAUGUGCUGCAGGUAGGUUUUUCGGUAGCUAUCCAUGGUGGUGGUGCCGUGGUGGUGAGUGGAGAGGGCAGAUCUGAUGCCCGGAAGAGGAAAGGAGCAUCAGUGCGUCUGCCUUCUAGAUCUGGAAACUGCUGUGCGUGCUUACGAAAGUGUACCCGCUAUUUUUACCAGUGGAUCGAUAUGAUUGCCAUGUGGAUGUCUCUCCCGAUCAUUAUCCAUAUGCUCCAAACUGAACAGACAAACUACUACUCCACUUGAACAUGGUUUCUGGGCACGUGUUGCCAGCGUUUGGACAAGUGGAGAUGAGACUCUGAAUGCAUGAACUUGACUCAGGAUCCACCUUUUGCUGGUCCCUAGAUAUGAAACGCAUGCAUGCUCUCCAGCAUUUGGAUUACCAUGCAACCUUUGUAGUCAAAGAGAUGCGAUCUUUGAUUGAAAAUCUGAAUACUAGUUAAACCUGUUUGGU